RNAcentral lists this ribosomal RNA (433 nucleotides) under uncultured bacterium. RNAcentral describes it as "partial 16S ribosomal RNA". It matches the Rfam family "Bacterial small subunit ribosomal RNA", at positions 29 to 507 of the family's 1533-position model. The record is from RNAcentral.
AACGAACGCUGGCGGCAGGCCUAACACAUGCAAGUCGAGCGAGGACUUCGGUCCUAGCGGCGGACGGGUGAGUAACGCGUGGGAACGUGCCCUUUGCUUCGGAAUAGCCCUGGGAAACUGGGAGUAAUACCGGAUGAGCCCUUUGGGGGAAAGAUUUAUCGGCGAAGGAUCGGCCCGCGUUGGAUUAGGUAGUUGGUGGGGUAAUGGCCUACCAAGCCGACGAUCCAUAGCUGGUUUGAGAGGAUGAUCAGCCACACUGGGACUGAGACACGGCCCAGACUCCUACGGGAGGCAGCAGUGGGGAAUCUUAGACAAUGGGGUAAACCCUGAUCUAGCCAUGCCGCGUGAGCGAUGAAGGCCUUAGGGUUGUAAAGCUCUUUCAGCUGGGAAGAUAAUGACGGUACCAGCAGAAGAAGCCCCGGCUAACUCCGUG